Molecule: ribosomal RNA, 454 nt
Filed under: uncultured Prevotella sp.
Lineage: Bacteria; Pseudomonadati; Bacteroidota; Bacteroidia; Bacteroidales; Prevotellaceae
Description: partial 16S ribosomal RNA
Rfam family: Bacterial small subunit ribosomal RNA
Source: RNAcentral
ACGGGAGGCAGCAGUGAGGAAUAUUGGUCAAUGGACGGAAGUCUGAACCGGCCAAGUAGCGUGCAGGAUGACGGCCCUAUGGGUUGUAAACUGCUUUUGUACGGGAAUAAAGUGACCUACGUGUAGGUUUUUGCAUGUACCGUAAGAAUAAGGACCGGCUAAUUCCGUGCCAGCAGCCGCGGUAAUACGGAAGGUCCGGGCGUUAUCCGGAUUUAUUGGGUUUAAAGGGAGCGUAGGCCGUGCUUUAAGCGUGUUGUGAAAUGUAGGCGCCCAACGUCUGCACUGCAGCGCGAACUGGAGCACUUGAGUACGCAGGAAGUAGGCGGAAUUCGUCGUGUAGCGGUGAAAUGCUUAGAUAUGACGAAGAACUCCGAUUGCGAAGGCAGCUGACUGUAGCGUUACUGACGCUGAAGCUCGAAAGUGUGGGUAUCGAACAGGAUUAGAUACCCUGGUA